Molecule: unclassified non-coding RNA, 240 nt
Filed under: soil metagenome
Description: partial contains 5.8S ribosomal RNA, internal transcribed spacer 2, and large subunit ribosomal RNA
Source: RNAcentral
AACCUAGCACACCUGCGGUGUGUACCUGCGGAGGGAUCACUACACAAUAAACAUAUGAAGGCUGCACCGCCAACAGGCGGCAAGGCUGGAGUAUUUUAUUACCCUUGUCUUUUGCGCACUUGUUGUUUCCUGGGCGGGUUCGCCCGCCUCCAGGACCACAUGAUAAACCUUUUUUAUGCAGUUGCAAUCAGCGUCAGUACAACAAAUGUAAAUCAUUUACAACUUUUAGCAAUGGAUCUC